This 422-nucleotide ribosomal RNA is filed under the name uncultured bacterium. RNAcentral's name for it is "partial 16S ribosomal RNA". It matches the Rfam family "Bacterial small subunit ribosomal RNA", at positions 360 to 774 of the family's 1533-position model. The record is from RNAcentral.
AAUCUUCCACAAUGGGCGAAAGCCUGAUGCAGCAACGCCGCGUGAGGGAAGAAGGAUUUCGGAUCGUAAAACUCUGUUGUAAGGGAAGAACAAGUACAGUAGUAACUGGCUGUACCUUGACGGUACCUUAUUAGAAAGCCACGGCUAACUACGUGCCAGCAGCCGCGGUAAUACGUAGGUGGCAAGCGUUGUCCGGAAUUAUUGGGCGUAAAGAGCGCGCAGGUGGUUUCUUAAGUCUGAUGUAAAAGCCCACGGCUCAACCGUGGAGGGUCAUUGGAAACUGGGAGACUUGAGUACAGAAGAGGAUAGUGGAAUUCCAAGUGUUGCAGUGAAAUGAGUAGGGAUUUGGAGGAACACCAGUGGCGAAGGCGACUAUCUGGUCUGUAACCGACACUGAGGCGCGAAAGCGUGGGGAGCAAACA